AUGGACUUGUUGCCGCACCAUCACUUCUCGAGCCGGUCCUCCAGAGUUCUACUCAAUGGUGUUGCGGGCGACCCAAUCACGCACGGAUGUGGGCUUCGACAGGGGGAUCCUCUCUCCCCUCCGCUCUUUGUCCUUGCCAUUGAUCCCCUGCACCAUAUCCUAGCCAAGGCUACCGCGCAAGGCAACCUCCAUCCACUC
Molecule: ribosomal RNA, 198 nt
Filed under: Triticum aestivum (bread wheat)
Lineage: Eukaryota; Viridiplantae; Streptophyta; Magnoliopsida; Poales; Poaceae
Description: partial small subunit ribosomal RNA
Source: RNAcentral